GUUCCUCAGCUCAUUUCCUUUCCUCAAGCUCUCUAAGAGGCGGAAUUCACGGGCCAGUAGCGAAGGAGGAAAGAGAACGAGAUAAGAGAGGGUUCGUUGGCGGUGGCUGCGCAGGUCGAAAUGGCAGCGUGAUGGAGGCACGGCCAGGUUUGGCUCCUACUGCUGUGUCGUCCCAGCUUCGUGGCCCUUGGGUCCCACAGUCCCAAGAAGAGCACGAAGACCUGUGAAUUAGGGCUCUGGCUGGGCGGGCAGAAGCCGCUGAUUUAAUUUUGUUUCUGGAGCACUCCAAUCAGAAGGCCACCCGGUCAGGAGCCACCGAAGGCGAAGCUGGCUG
This 334-nucleotide long non-coding RNA is filed under the name Equus asinus (donkey). Its description in RNAcentral is "lncRNA (ENSEASG00005025558.1)". Lineage: Eukaryota; Metazoa; Chordata; Mammalia; Perissodactyla; Equidae. The record is from RNAcentral.